Leopardus geoffroyi (Geoffroy's cat) is the source of this 908-nucleotide long non-coding RNA. RefSeq lists it as uncharacterized. NCBI's taxonomy places the organism in Eukaryota, Metazoa, Chordata, Mammalia, Carnivora, Felidae. The record is from RefSeq and is a predicted model, not a curated record. The transcript has 4 exons.
ACGUUUGGAGGACGCAUGCGCCCUGCUGGACUGCCUUGUUGAGGUUUAGGUAUUCCGUGGUCGAGGUCCGCGGUUCCGUGGUGUAUGCUUGCGUUGGGUGGUUCUGCUCCACGCCGGAGUUUGCAAAUCUGUGUAGGAGGCAGCUGCUGCAUUUGGGACCCUCGGGAUGUCUGUUUUCUGUUACCUUGCAAUACAGUUGUGUAUGCAUUUAUAUUCACUCCCUAGACUAGACGGUGGAAUUUAAGAGGGCAAGACCCUGCACUUAUACGCCUGGGAUUGACACGGGAAAUCGGACCCUUAGUUUCAGGUGCUGUCUUUAGCUCUACAGAUACAGCAGAGAACAAAGGAGAAUUGGCCUUGCCCAAGUGGAGCUAAAGUCUCUUCUGGAACCUGAACGAAAGCCCCCAUGAAGACAGAGGUUCUGUCUCUCUCAUCCACGGCUCCAGCACCAGGAGCCACAGCAGAGCCUGGUCCAUGGUUGACGUUGCUGGGAGCACGGAAGGAGACCAAUCUUCCCUACAGACCAAAGAUAAAUUUCUUUUGAAGUACUUUGGAUGGACAAAAAAUCUGUUCAAAAGAUCAAAGGGUGAUUAUUUUACCAAAUUAUUAUUUGAAGGAUACGCUCACCAUGAUCAUACAACUAUUUUUUGAUUUAUGGAAAUACAAUUGGUAUUCAACUUUUUAGGAGUAUGUUUAGCGUGUAACACAAGAACAAAUUGCAUGAAGUAAGAGCCCACGUCUGUGUUGUUUCUCACUAAGAUCAGCACCUUUCUGGCCACCUAGUAGGCUUUUGAAUAUCUGUGUGAUUGAUUUCAAUACUGGAAUAUGUUUUCUGUUAAAUCUCAAGGGCAUCAGUUCUGCAGUUCUCCCUUUAUAGUUGUUAACAUGAAUUUUGAUGACACGAAAAA